GGGGCUGCUGAGGAAGGCCACAGGGGCUAAGGAGGAUUUCCUCAGAGCUUUUGGGAAGCUAUACGUUCCUGGCCCCGAGGUAAAGCUCCCACAGGCUGCUUGACCCAACAGAGCAGCUCCUACCCACUGGGAUUCUCGGUCUGCAGGAAUCUGGCAUCCACCUGGGGAGCAUCUGGCUGAGGCAGCCUGGAGACAGGCACGCACCAGAAGACUUCUGGUUCCAUCCAGGCCCAAGGACCACUGAACUGGAGCGGUCUUCUCCAUCCCCCAGCAAGCCUGUGCGUGAGCUGGGGACAAGGGGCAGAGGAGGCAGAGGUCCCCCUCACACCAGGAAGGGAACAGCGCCACUAAAGGGCCUGGUGGAGGCAGGGUGGAGGUGGAAGGAGACUCAGCAGAAGGGAUGAGGAAACUGAGGCUGAGAGGGUAGAGAACUUUGCCUGAGGUCACUCAGCAGGGACCCACCCAUCACAGUAAAUGCCAGCACUGCUGAUGCCAAAACAAUGUUAUUUGUAGGCCCUCGGAAUUUGUGACCUGAAGGAAGAAGAGCAGGGCCGUGGGAAGUAUGUAACCAGUGUCAUGCCCCUGGUCCCAAGGAAGCAGUGGCUUGGUAAAGAGGGGACCCCCGUCAAUAACUCCCUGUAAUUACUGGGCACCCACUCUGAGCUCCUCAGUGGAAUCCUAAGGUUAAUAAGACUGUCUCUAGCCACUGGGGCUCCCAGCCUGGAGUGAGUGAGCCCGGUGCCCCCCCGGGCCUCCUCAGUGAGCUGAGGAGGCUCAGCAGUGCCUGCACGUCCCCUCGCCACAAUGUCAUGUGCCACCUCUUCAAAGGAGGGAUGUACCAGCUAGUGGACGUGACCUUGACUGCAAAGGGCGGCACGCAGCUGAUGUAAUGGUCGCUUAAGUGUUCACAAAUGCCUGAACACCCUGUCCUACCUGGUCCUACCUGGAUGCUGGCCUCAGUAAGCUCCUGGGCUCAUUGAAGAUGAACCUAGCAGUAGUAUUUACACCACUUGUUGUGUGCCCACUGUGGGCCCGGCGCCAUGCCGAGUGCUCUAUGGAUGUGAGAUGAGAACACUGAAGCAGUUUUUUCUAAAGAUAGCUGCCUGGCACAGUGGCUCACAUCUGUAGUCCCAGCAUUUGGGGAGGCCAAGGCAGGUGGAUCACUUGAGGCCAGGAAUUCAAGACCAGCAUGGCCAACAUGUGCUGGGAGAGAAAAGCAUACGACAUAGACAGGGAGGUCAAGCUCCACCACGCAGAUGAGGUGCAGGCCACCAGUCUUCCUCUGCCACAUCUCUUUCUGAAAAGGCAGCCUGUGCUGAGAAACCAUGACUGAGUAAGCCAAGCUUUGUUGGCCGCACCUGCCAAGCCACAGGGUGCCUCAGGCUUGGAGCAUCCCGGAGCCAGUUACAACCCAAGACUUCAGCCUUCUGGAAGGUGUUGGGUCAGCCACCCUGAAGGACGAUCCUGCCCAAGUGACAUGCUUUGCUCUUCCUUCUCACCCAGGACUUCACAUUCACCCUUGCAAUCCAUGUGGGGACACUGUUGGAUAGGAGGCGUGGUCCCAGCGUGGUCUCCCUGUCUGGGCCUCUGCCUAUGCCAAAUGUUUGCCUUACGCUGCACACUCAAGAGGUUCCAUGUAUACAGAUGGGAAUUCCAGAGCUACAGAAAAGGCAGCAAGCACCAUGAUUUAAGCUAACCAGUGUGGAUUCACACCUUCCUCUCUCUCUAUCAGUGGCAGAACUACCAGCUAGAGUAAGAAGUGGUUGAUCCAGGACCUAAACAUUCUGGAAACUCUUGCCCACUUCUGGGAGAAAUGACCCAAUCCAUAGUACUAAGCACACCUUAACUUUCGUAGGACGCAGGCAAGUUGUCAUACCGUGUGCCUAAAUAUAGAAAAAUGAUCCACUGGACUAAUAAAGUGUUAAAUAAAA
Homo sapiens (human) is the source of this 1931-nucleotide long non-coding RNA. Ensembl annotates it as long intergenic non-protein coding RNA 2395. Lineage: Eukaryota; Metazoa; Chordata; Mammalia; Primates; Hominidae. The record is from Ensembl.